AGCCUAUCCUUGACCGAGAGGUCUGGGUAAUCUUUGAAACUGCGUCGUGAUGGGGAUAGAUUAUUGCAAUUAUUAGUCUUCAACGAGGAAUGCCUAGUAGGCGCGAUUCAUCAGAUCGCGCCGAUUACGUCCCUGCCCUUUGUACACACCGCCCGUCGCUCCUACCGAUUGGGUGUGCUGGUGAAGUGUUCGGAUUGGCAGAGCGGGUGGCAACACUUGCUUUUGCCGAGAAGUUCAUUAAACCCUCCCACCUAGAGGAAGGAGAAGUCGUAACAAGGUUUCCGUAGGUGAACCUGCGGAAGGAUCAUUGAAUUAUCAAAACCACAAUGUGAACCAGGUGUCUCAUGCUUUCGUGCAGCGCGGCGCCCUGCGCUGGCGGGCCCUGAGAUCGCACCCUCACCGGUGCUUUCUCGGGGUUAUCUGCGCGAUUGCGUGUUUUCCCACACCCAGUGAAACCACUGAGUUGUGCCUCACGGCGCAGCCAAACCAAACUCUGAAGAAACGAUUGCCAUACACUGGCGGUCACAAACGAAAACAACUCUCAACAACGGAUAUCUUGGCUCUCGCAACGAUGAAGAACGCAGCGAAAUGCGAUACGUAGUGUGAAUUGCAGAAUUCCGUGAACCAUCGAAUCUUUGAACGCAUAUUGCGCUCAAGCCCUCGGGCAAGAGCAUGUCUGCCUCAGCGUCUUUUUACCCCCUCACAUCCCUAUCCUUGGAUAGCGCCAAGCUCAUGCGGCUUGCGGAUGUGGAUUUGGCUUCCCCAAUCGGCCUUGUUGCUGAUUGGGUUGGCUGAAGUGCAGAGGCUUGAGCAAGGACCCGUUAUGGGCAUCAACUGGAUAGGUAGUGCCAGCCACCCGGCUGUCUACACGAAGUUGUUGCCUGUGGACCUUGCUGGAGGCCAGCAGGAAACACGCCUCGGCGUGAUUCAACUUUGGACCUGAGCUCAGGCAAGAUUACGGACUGAACUUAAGCAUAUCAAUAAGUCCAGGAAAAGAAACUAACCAGGAUGCGCUUAGUAACGGCGAGCGAACCGCGCAAAGCCCAACUUGUUAAUCCCCCUUGGGGAAUUGUAGUCUAUAGAUGCAUCCUCUGCGGCAGACGGAGCUCAAAUCUUCUGGAAAGGAGUGUCAGAGAGGGUGAGAACCCCGUCGGCUCUUGUCUUUGCUGCUCCACGAGGUGCUUUCGAAGAGUCGUGUUGCUUGGGAAUGCAGCACUAAUUGGG
RNAcentral lists this ribosomal RNA (1224 nucleotides) under Messastrum gracile. RNAcentral's name for it is "bacterial SSU rRNA". The stretch from base 1 to 310 matches the Rfam family "Eukaryotic small subunit ribosomal RNA", at positions 1518 to 1831 of the family's 1831-position model. The record is from RNAcentral. Lineage: Eukaryota; Viridiplantae; Chlorophyta; Chlorophyceae; Sphaeropleales; Selenastraceae.